AUCCCUGUGGCGCAGUGGUAGCGCGUCGUUCUUAUAUGGGAAACUCGGCUUCAGUCGAUCUUAUAUCGCUAUGCGAAUGUCGUGGGUUCGACCCCCACCAGGGAUA
Non-coding RNA from Tricharina praecox, 106 nucleotides. The record is from the annotation of a RefSeq genome assembly. NCBI's taxonomy places the organism in Eukaryota, Fungi, Ascomycota, Pezizomycetes, Pezizales, Pyronemataceae.